GAUUAGUAUUCUAAGGAAGCAGUAUAAAAAGAGCAUGGUGAGAAGGUCAGAGUGUGGAGUCAGAUCUAACAAUUUGUCUCCAUUCUCUACUUAUUGGCUGUGUGACCUUGGGAAGAUAGCUUAACCUCUCUGACUCUUAAUUUUCCAUUGAGAGAGUUGUGACAAUCAAUGUGGAUGUUAUUUAAAGCAUUGCUUAUUAAAUCAAAGCAUAACUGUAGCUUAAAAAUGAAUUAUAGCUUCUCAUAGAGACUCUCUUCCAGAGUACAGUAUAGAACGGAAAAAAAAAAAAAAAAAGAGUAACUAUACAGUGGAGAAACCUGACAAGCACUGCCUUGGCCAAAUGACCAACGUUACUAUCAACAGCGAUAAAUAUUAUUGAUGGGCAUUCAUCAAGAUCAACAUACCUGCCAAGGCAAACCCUGUGAGCCCUGUGACUGGCCAUGUGGACUCGACAUCCUCCUUGUCCGCCGUCCACUCACUUGCAAACUGGUGUCAAUGAAGGUAACAUUUUGUGGUAAUGGCAACCAUAUGGGCUGGUGACUGCUGUCAGUAAAAAUAGCCCACAUGGCCUGUGUGGCCAGACACAACGUCAAGCUAAGAGAAGGAGACAGAAAGCUGUGUGAAGGAAAGAAAAAAAAAUAGUUUUAAAAGACUGGAGACGGAAGCCUGCCUGACUGUGAAGGAGGUUUCAGGGAGCUGAAACAUGCAGCCAAGCUGGGCUCAUCAACAGCAGAGACAUUUGCAUGAAACACCAGCCCUCCCCAGCCUGGCCUUCCACACUCUCAUGCCCCAGAUGAGAGGGGAUAGAAACAGGAUUCUAUCUGGGAACAGAGCCGAAGCUCAGCACAUGUACACAUCUCUGGGAUGUGUACAGAAUCUUCUCCUACCUAACCAACCCAGUAGAGAGCAAGGAGUUAGGGCCAGAAAUUUUAAACAACAACAACAACAACAAAAAAACCUAAGCAUAUAUUUUCAGUUCCUUUAAAAAUGUAUUAUGUUUUGUAGCAUAAUAGAAACAACGUGAAUUUGCAAAUUGCCAGACCUGAUUUGACUCUCACAAUAUGCUACUGAAUAAACACAAGC
Molecule: long non-coding RNA, 1083 nt
Filed under: Homo sapiens (human)
Lineage: Eukaryota; Metazoa; Chordata; Mammalia; Primates; Hominidae
Description: HSALNT0354366
Source: RNAcentral